This 149-nucleotide non-coding RNA is filed under the name Homo sapiens (human). Lineage: Eukaryota; Metazoa; Chordata; Mammalia; Primates; Hominidae. The record is from Rfam by way of RNAcentral.
GCCGGGCGUGGUGGGGCAUGCCUGUAAUCCCAGCUACUUGGGAGGCGGAGGCAGGAGAAUUGCUUGAGCCCGGGAGGUGGAGGUUGCAGUGAACCGAGAUUGCGCCACUGCACUCCAGCCUGGGCAACAAGAGCAAAACUCUGUCUCAA